UAUGUGAUCGUCUCUCGCAUAUCAAUAAGCGGAGGAAAAGCAUAACAUGUAUACCUACGCUUAGGAUGUUGACGAGACUGUCGAUCUCAUCUAUACAUGACUCUGUGCAUAUCAAUAAGCGGAGGAAAAGAAACUAACAAGGAUUCCCCUAGUAACGGCGAGUGAAGCGGGAAGAGCUCAAAUUUGAAAUCUUAAAGGGUUUCCCUUUACGAAUUGUAGUUUAAAGAAGUGUUUUCUGUUGAGGUUUUGGUAAAAGUUCUUUGGAAUAGGACAUCAUAGAGGGUGAGAAUCCCGUAUUUGACCUUUACUUUCAACUUUGUGAUACACUUUCAAAGAGUCGGAUUGUUUGGGAAUGCAGUCCAAAAUGGGUGGUAAAUUUCAUCUAAAGCUAAAUAUUGGCGAGAGACCGAUAGCGAACAAGUACCGUGAGGGAAAGAUGAAAAGAACUUUGAAAAGAGAGUUAAACAGUACGUGAAAUUGUCAAAAGGGAAGCGUUUGACACCAGUGUUGUUUUUCUGAAAAUCAAUUAAGGAACUGUUUAUGCUAAGCUGUUUAGACUUUAUCAGCUAAUCUGUUUAGUUUUGAGCUUUUCUUUAAUGCACUUUUCAGUUAACAAGUCAACAUCAAUUUCUUUUGCUGUAAAAAAGCUUGAGGAAGGUGGCUUGAGAUUCGUCUUAAGUGUUUAUAGCCUCUUGCCUAUGCAGUCGGAGAGAUUGAGGUCUGCAGCGUAGAUCCUUCGGGGCUAAAUGCAUUUGUGCUAAGUUAUAGCAUUUUAUAGACAACUUGUUGACUAUGAUUUGUCUUGUAGCUUACUCGCUUAUGUUAUUUUACCUACGCUUAGGAUGUUGAACGCGCACAGAGUCUC
RNAcentral lists this ribosomal RNA (865 nucleotides) under uncultured Neocallimastigales. Its description in RNAcentral is "partial large subunit ribosomal RNA". It matches the Rfam family "Eukaryotic large subunit ribosomal RNA", at positions 1 to 641 of the family's 3401-position model. The record is from RNAcentral. Lineage: Eukaryota; Fungi; Neocallimastigomycota; Neocallimastigomycetes; Neocallimastigales.